AACCUACCUUUAUCUGGGGGAUAGCCUUUCGAAAGGAAGAUUAAUACCCCAUAAUAUAUUUAAUGGCAUCAUUAGAUAUUGAAAACUCCGGUGGAUAGAGAUGGGCACGCGCAAGAUUAGAUAGUUGGUGAGGUAACGGCUCACCAAGUCUGUGAUCUUUAGGGGGCCUGAGAGGGUGAUNCCCCACACUGGUACUGAGACACGGACCAGACUCCUACGGGAGGCAGCAGUGAGGAAUAUUGGACAAUGGGUGAGAGCCUGAUCCAGCCAUCCCGCGUGAAGGACGACGGCCCUACGGGUUGUAAACUUCUUUUGUAUAGGAAUAAACCUAGAUACGUGUAUCUAGCUGAAGGUACUAUACGAAUAAGCACCGGCUAACUCCGUGCCAGCAGCCGCGGUAAUACGGAGGGUGCAAGCGUUAUCCGGAUUUAUUGGGUUUAAAGGGUCCGUA
RNAcentral lists this ribosomal RNA (451 nucleotides) under Flavobacteriales bacterium 15-09PB. RNAcentral's name for it is "bacterial SSU rRNA". It matches the Rfam family "Bacterial small subunit ribosomal RNA", at positions 123 to 573 of the family's 1533-position model. Lineage: Bacteria; Pseudomonadati; Bacteroidota; Flavobacteriia; Flavobacteriales. The record is from RNAcentral.